This 1885-nucleotide long non-coding RNA is filed under the name Homo sapiens (human). RNAcentral describes it as "HSALNT0302280". Lineage: Eukaryota; Metazoa; Chordata; Mammalia; Primates; Hominidae. The record is from RNAcentral.
CUGGGAUUACAGCAACUCCCAAAACACACAUGGCCCCAGAGAAUAAGAGGACCACAGCUGAGUUGCUUUUCAGACAUCAGACAGCUGUCCUUGUGGAUGAAAGAAACUCCUUUCCAACUUUGAAGAAAAUGUCCAGGGAUCGGGGAGCAGGCAUGUGAUAUUCUUCAAGGUGCCACCAGCCUUUCUCAAUAAAACAUCUCCAGUGGGAAAACAUGGAACCCAGAAAGGGCUGGUGUGGGAAAAAUAUGACAAGGAUGGCCGGCAAAGUAAACCCAUGGUGAAUUCAACCCUGAGAAAGCAGAUUUCCUGGAGUGUGCAAGCUUUGCUUAGGCUUAGUUUUAAUAAAUAAUAAAGAGACACAAUUAAACAAACUAAAGGUGAUCUUGCCCCGGAUGGCUCCUUAGGAUCUUUAGAACAUGGCAAUUCAAUUUAAACGCGGAGCCCCUACUCUGCUGGACUGACAGGAAAUUGAACUGUCCAGGUCAUGACUCCCGUGUAUGAAGUGCAGCUGUCCAGGUCACCCCUGGAACAUCUUUCACAACCUUGCUGAGGGCCCUGCUAGGAACCAGGCAUCUUAAGAAGCACUAGGUCAUCUGGAGGCCCUUCCCAUCAUUAGUUCACAUGAGCACGUCCCAGUCUGCAUGGUCUCCUUGGGGUUACCCCUCUGCUAUUAAAUAUUUUCUAGAAAAAAAAAAAAAAGACUCUUUGGCAAAGACCCAGCCUCCCUGAGGCACAUACAGCGAGGGGGUACCACCAAGAAGCAGGUGACAUCCUUGAGGCUUCUGGAUUCACAGACCUUUUUAGUUUAGGAAAAUACAGCCCUCCUCAAACCCUAUUCUUCUCUGCAGGUUUAUUUGAAAUGAAAGCCUGGAAGUCCAGCCACAAGUCUCUCCUGAGGCUGAGACACAGAGCCAGCCAGAAUGAAAAAUGGAAAGGGGAAAAUACAGAGAGAGAAAUUAAAUCAGUAUCUCAAAGGUUUUCCUCUUUUUUCUAAAAUGAAAUUCCUUUCAUUUUAGUGUUUAUUUUAGAGUUGAGGCAACUGAGACAUGGGCAUAAUGACCAAAGGCACACAACUAGUUACAAACAGUGACACAACCAGUUACUGACACCUACUAGUUACUGACAGAUACUAACAGCCAACAAUAGCUGGCUCUUUCUAUUAUACCAUGGUGCCUCUUCAUUUUUUCUGAUUUCCAACCUCUUUUCUAUUCUAAACUGCCCUUGUUGAUAGGCACUUAAGUCUCUGCACCUACAGUCUUAGACAUAUUUGGAAACUUCUCUUAAGCAUGUUGAUCCAUCCAGGGCUGAAUUAUCUGUGAUCAAAAGAAUUACUCCACCCUGGGGCAUAUCCAACAAGAUGAAAGAUUCAGAAAUAAAUUACAUUGUGCUCCAUUCUUCCUGGCUCUCAACAUCUUCCCGCAUAAGAAAUCAGUUUCCUGAGAGUCUCCAGGCUCCAAAAGGCCAUCCUAAGGGAUGAAGGCAAAGUCUCAUGGGUCCAGCCACCCACCACAGACAUCUCUAGGAUGACUUUGGGGACCUGAUUGUUCCUGUGGCAAUGAUGCAUGUGGCCUGGGAGUUUUGGGAAAGGUAGGUUCAUGAGCUAUUUAUGUGUAGUUAAGUGUUUGGUCUUUCUGAGCAUCAGCUGGCAAGGCCAUGUCCUCAUCCCACUGCCUCUGAGAGUCACUGCUUAGCUGUGUCUAAGCAAUGAGGGGAAGAGGGGGUGAUAUUGUAUCUAACUUUGAGAGUAAUCAUUACUGUGUCAGUGUGCAAAUGACAAGUUCCAGUGGGUAGUGUAGAAGGUUUUCUAGUUAUUUUGUCUAUUAUAGGCAUGGUCCAAUACUUCCUCUUCCUCUUUCUUUUAAUAAAGGACUGCAAGAGAAAAGGA